Molecule: long non-coding RNA, 235 nt
Filed under: Elaeis guineensis (African oil palm)
Lineage: Eukaryota; Viridiplantae; Streptophyta; Magnoliopsida; Arecales; Arecaceae
Description: long non-coding RNA (EGUI_LNC000478)
Source: RNAcentral
UUCUUGUUCUGAUGCUGAUGGAAGGAUGGGAUGGAAAAAGGGAGGGGGCAAUUAAAGUCUCUGUCAGAUCUAAAGGAUCCAAGACAAUUCUCAAAGUAUGUGCAUGGAGGGAAACGAGGUUCAACAGCCCUCUAGAUCCCAUAUCUUCGAUCAGUAUAAAAAUAAACUCAAUACUAGUCCUCUACUUUCGAGUUCGAAUCGAAAUUGGAUUGGACAAAGAGAGUAUUCCAGAUAC